RNAcentral lists this ribosomal RNA (437 nucleotides) under uncultured Oscillospiraceae bacterium. RNAcentral's name for it is "partial 16S ribosomal RNA". It matches the Rfam family "Bacterial small subunit ribosomal RNA", at positions 341 to 792 of the family's 1533-position model. The record is from RNAcentral. Lineage: Bacteria; Bacillati; Bacillota; Clostridia; Eubacteriales; Oscillospiraceae.
ACGGAAGGCAGCAGUGGGGAAUAUUGGGCAAUGGGCGAAAGCCUGACCCAGCAACGCCGCAUGAAGGAAGAAGGUCUUCGGAUUGUAAACUUCUUUUAUGAGGGACGAAGGACGUGACGGUACCUCAUGAAUAAGCCACGGCUAACUACGUGCCAGCAGCCGCGGUAAUACGUAGGUGGCAAGCGUUAUCCGGAUUUACUGGGUGUAAGGGGCGCGUAGGCGGGAAGACAAGUCAGAUGUGAAAUCCAUGGGCUCAACCCAUGAACUGCAUUUGAAACUGUUUUUCUUGAGUGCUGGAGAGGUAGACGGAAUUCCUUGUGUAGCGGUGAAAUGCGUAGAUAUAAGGAAGAACACCAGUGGCGAAGGCGGUCUACUGGACAGUAACUGACGCUGAGGCGCGAAAGCGUGGGGAGCAAACAGGAUUAGAUACCCUGGUA